This 4690-nucleotide long non-coding RNA is filed under the name Brassica napus (rape). Its description in RNAcentral is "long non-coding RNA (BNAP_LNC011371)". The record is from RNAcentral. Lineage: Eukaryota; Viridiplantae; Streptophyta; Magnoliopsida; Brassicales; Brassicaceae.
GUGAUUAAGGGUGCUCUUUACAAUGGACGUCUAGGAGCUUAUAUAAGGCUCAGAGACAAAGGUCCUAACGUUCUAAAACAAAUAGAAAAGGAAACAAAUCAAGCAAAGUAACAAAAUCGAAAACUAGCCGUUGGAGCCUUUUAUGGGAUUUUGGCUCCAAGUGAGAAACUUGAUUCUUCUUGAACCUGGACGGUUUUAAUGGAUAAGAGAGCUUCCUUGGGACCUUCCUGGGUGCUUGAUAGGUUCUGAUCUCGUGCCUGAUCUGAAGAGAAAAGAGUUGUUGGACAUUAAUGUCGGUUUGCUCCAAAUAAGGCAGGUUUGAGUAAAUGAGGAUCCUCAUGAUCCAAUGGUUGCUGGUGCAUGGUAUGAACUUGCAGAACUCCUCCUGGACUCCUAGAAUAUCUCCUGAUUGGUUGAAAUGAUCUCCUGGUCGCCAAUGUCUGGUUUGAAGCUGAUUGAACCGGUUAGCUUCCAAUUGAGGUAAGUGUAGAACUGGAUUGGCCGGUUUUGAAGAUUGGAUCAUAAAUUCAUAAUUCCGUGGCCAUUUCUCCUGAUCUUGGGCUUUCUGGAAAUCUGAUAAACUCCUCUUGACUCCUAUGAUGGGCUUUGCUUCAGGCCGCUCCUUACUUGAGCUUAAAUCUCCUUCUAAAGUCGGGUACUCGCAGAUGGACGGGCUGGAAAACCUCUGACUUGUAAAAUUCAUAACUUCUUGCUCCGUGAAUAUUUUGGACUGAUUAUAAGUGGGCUGGACUCCUUCUUGAGUGUAGAGUCCACUAAAAUUUAUCUUGUGACUUAAACCCUCCUGGUUUGUAAGAUACAGCAUUUUUAGUGCACAUGUGUUCUGCUUAGCGCCUUGGCUGGUUGAGUAGGGCUUUGGGUUGACCUCCGGUUCAGUUGCUGAUCUGAUGACCACAUCAUCCCCUCCCUCUUGACAAGGUUUCGACUUCGAAACUGUAUAAUCUGCACCAAGAUAGAGCAAGUCAGCUUUCAUUCUCUUUUGAGAUUCUAAAGCCUUACCUUGGUAUUGUUUUGGUUUUGCUUCUUUAAGCAAUAUGGACUGCAUUGUCUCUUGAACAAUCUUCUGGUCCAUCACAAGAGUCACGCCUGGUGGUUCUUCUUCUUUAAAUUCUUGCUCCUUAAGUCCUGUUACAACACCCUUUGACAAAGACAAGUGCAUUAUACAAGAAUAUGGAACCAAUAAAUCAGUUUGAAUAAAACUAUCACUUUUCAUAGAUAAAUCUAUUUUUUCUUCUAGUGAUGUUUCUAUCAAUGCUUGCUUAGUAGGACAAACUACAGCAUAGUGUCCUUUCUUAUGACAUCUAUAACAUGUCUGAUUUUUCAAAUCCUCAGAGUUAGAAGACUUACCUUGGCUUGAUGGCUCUUCUUUAUUUGGGUUUAAAAUCUCCUUGUAUCUUGGACUUAAAUCAUGGACAACUUUUGAUCUCAACAAGGAUGGGGAGAUCGUGUCUUUCUGAACCUCAGGACCUGUCUUAACAUUCUUGGACAAAGACAAGUGACUCAUACCAGUGGGAGAUGAUUUAUAAACAAAUUUAUCAAGUAUAGGACUUACCUUAGCCUUUACUUGGACAAUAAAAGGUUCUGAUUUUUCUUUGGAACCAUGAGUUAGAUACCUCCUUGGGUAUAUCUUUUUGAUCUUAGAACUUGUGAGUUCUGCUGCAAAUUCAUCCCUCAUGACUUCCUUAAGAGCUCUCCACGUUUUGAUAGCUGUCUCCUUGUAAAACCAUCUAUCAUCUUCUUCUUGUACCCACCAUUUAAAGGCAUUACCUUUUAGUUGAUCAAGGGCAUAAGAUAGCCUCUCUUCCUUGAGGAUGUUGUUGUAGUGAAACCAUUCAUCAAGGUUCCUCUCCCAUGUUAGGUAGCUUAUUCCUCCUGAAAAUGUAAAGAGUUCAAUUUUAUCAGCAAAAGAUUUAUGAUCAAACCGAGAAUUAGCAACAUGAUGAGUAUGGGUUUGAGAAGUUGGAUGUUGAUUGAUCCUUGAAGGAUCUGGUGGCUUGGGAUCGACAUAGACAACCUCUGGUGCAUCUCCAAAUCUCCUUUCUCCUUGCUGUGGACGUUGGCCUCAUGCCUUGUUUCUUUUCCUCAACUGAGCAAUCCGAUCAUUGAUCUCUUGUAAAGCUGUCAACUAUUGGUUCUGUUUGGCCAUCUGACAUUGACCGUGUGUUUUUCCUACCAUGGCUUCCUGAAAACACUUUCAAAGAUCAAGUGAAGGAAGGUAUGGGAAGUUCUGGUCGAAUCAAAAUAGGAACCAAAAAUGCAAGCUAAUUAAAACUAAACCGAGAAAAUAUGCUAUGAUGACCCGAAUUGAAAUAAACUAUGCAAAAAUGAUUUUUCUUUUAGUUUUCUUAAUGCAAAUCUCGAAAUGAAACAAUAUUAAAUGACAAUGAACACAAAUGAAAAGAAAAUAUGGAAAGCAAACUAAUGCUGAUAUUUUUUUUUUGAUUUUCUUAAUUAUGCAAGAAUUAACCAACAAUAUGCAAAAAUGAUUUAAACUAAGAUGCAAUAUUUUUAUUUGGUUUUCUUGAUGUAAGAACGAAAUGGACAACUAGAAAUGGUAUGAAAAUACUGAGAAUGAUUUAUUUUGGCUUUUAAGUUUAUGGAUGCAAAUGGAAAGGAAACAAAUUCAAAACAUCAUUUUUUUAUGGGAUAUUUGAGAUUUUUUUUUAUGGAAACUAAUGAAUGCAAACACUUUUUUUUGGGAUUUUCGAUUUUAAAUGAAUCAAAUAAAACUUUUUCUUUUCUUUUUCGUGGCUUUUAAGAGGAUGAACAGAAAGUACACAAAAACAAAUGCAGAAACAAAACUUGAACAAAGAAACAGUUUUUUUGGAUUUUCUGUUUAUGAUAAAAACAAAUGCAAGCAAAUGAAAUAUGAUGCAAGGAUAGAAUGGACCUGGAGAUUUUUUUUUAUGGAAACUAAUGAAUGCAAACACUUUUUUUUGGGAUUUUCGAUUUUAAAUGAAUCAAAUAAAACUUUUUCUUUUCUUUUUCGUGGCUUUUAAGAGGAUGAACAGAAAGUACACAAAAACAAAUGCAGAAACAAAACUUGAACAAAGAAACAGUUUUUUUGGAUUUUCUGUUUAUGAUAAAAACAAAUGCAAGCAAAUGAAAUAUGUAAAGCUGUCAACUAUUGGUUCUGUUUGGCCAUCUGACAUUGACCGUGUGUUUUUCCUACCAUGGCUUCCUGAAAACACUUUCAAAGAUCAAGUGAAGGAAGGUAUGGGAAGUUCUGGUCGAAUCAAAAUAGGAACCAAAAAUGCAAGCUAAUUAAAACUAAACCGAGAAAAUAUGCUAUGAUGACCCGAAUUGAAAUAAACUAUGCAAAAAUGAUUUUUCUUUUGGUUUUCUUAAUGCAAAUCUCGAAAUGAAACAAUAUUAAAUGACAAUGAACACAAAUGAAAAGAUAAUAUGGAAAGCAAACUAAUGCUGAUAUUUUUUUUUUGAUUUUCUUAAUUAUGCAAGAAUUAACCAACAAUAUGCAAAAAUGAUUUAAACUAAGAUGCAAUAUUUUUAUUUGGUUUUCUUGAUGUAAGAACGAAAUGGACAACUAGAAAUGGUAUGAAAAAACUGAGAAUGAUUUAUUUUGGCUUUUAAGUUUAUGGAUGCAAAUGGAAAGGAAACAAAUUCAAAACAUCAUUUUUUUAUGGGAUAUUUGAGAUUUUUUUUUAUGGAAACUAAUGAAUGCAAACACUUUUUUUUGGGAUUUUCGAUUUUAAAUGAAUCAAAUAAAACUUUUUCUUUUCUUUUUCGUGGCUUUUAAGAGGAUGAACAGAAAGUACACAAAAACAAAUGCAGAAACAAAACUUGAACAAAGAAACAGUUUUUUUGGAUUUUCUGUUUAUGAUAAAAACAAAUGCAAGCAAAUGAAAUAUGAUGCAAGGAUAGAAUGGACCUGAUUCAGGAGCUUUGAGCUCUGAUACCAAAAUGUUGUAGGCACAGGAGGGGUAACCCACGAAUUGAUAAAAAUGGUGGAACCAAGGUUUAAACCUGAAAAAAACAAAGAGAACCGAUUUUUAUGAGUUUAGAGUUUUUAUGAUGCAAACAUAAACAAAUAUGAAAACGAAUGAAAUGAUGAUGAUAAUGAUAAUAAAACAAGAUAAAUAAACAAAGUAUAUGAUGGAAUCAAGCUGCUGGAUGUGUAUCACUCUCAGCUUGAUUAGAUGAUGAACUGAAGUGGAUUUGCGGAGGAAGGUUUGAUUGAAUCUCUCAAUCUGAUGGAAUGAUGGAUCGAAGUGAUUGACUCUCUCAAUCUGUGUACUGAGCUUGUUUGAUUUGCACAAACAAACUAGACUCACGAAAUCAAUAAGACAACAAAGAAUCUCUCUUUGAAUCCUAAAGACCGAUAUUUUAUACAAAGAACAACUUUGAUAAAACUGAAUAAACUUUCUAUUAACUUGGUGAUUAAGGGUGCUCUUUACAAUGGACGUCUAGGAGCUUAUAUAAGGCUCAGAGACAAAGGUCCUAACGUUCUAAAACAAAUAGAAAAGGAAACAAAUCAAGCAAAGUAACAAAAUCGAAAAACUAGCCGUUGGAGCCUUUUAUGGGAUUUUGGCUCCAAGUGAGAAACUUGAUUCUUCUUGAACCUGGACGGUUUUAAUGGAUAAGAGAGAUUCCUUAGGACCUUCCUGGGUGCUUUAUAGGUUCUGAUCUCGUUCCUGAUCUGAAGAGAAAAGAG